AUGUUUGACGGAGUUGAGCGGAUGCUUCGGGAAGUCAGGCAUGUGCCAGGGCUAAGGAGGAAUCUAAUUUCGCUUGGUGUUCUUCAUGAUGGUGGUAUGGUAUUCCGUUGUGAUCGGGAUAAGAAGACCAUGAGAAUCAUGGAAGAUGAGGUGACCGUGAUGAUUGGAGGGAGGACGGCUUCGCAUCUUUACAAGUUGCAAGGGAGCACUAUUGCAGGUGGAGUCACAUAG
RNAcentral lists this ribosomal RNA (231 nucleotides) under Triticum aestivum (bread wheat). RNAcentral describes it as "partial small subunit ribosomal RNA". Lineage: Eukaryota; Viridiplantae; Streptophyta; Magnoliopsida; Poales; Poaceae. The record is from RNAcentral.